RNAcentral lists this ribosomal RNA (372 nucleotides) under uncultured bacterium. RNAcentral's name for it is "bacterial SSU rRNA". It matches the Rfam family "Bacterial small subunit ribosomal RNA", at positions 28 to 402 of the family's 1533-position model. The record is from RNAcentral.
GAUGAACGCUAGCGGCAGGCUUAACACAUGCAAGUCGAGGGGUAUGCUUCUUCGGAAGCAGAGACCGGCGCACGGGUGCGUAACGCGUAUGCAAUCUACCUUUUACAGAGGGAUAGCCCAGAGAAAUUUGGAUUAAUACCUCAUAGUAUUAUAGAAUGGCAUCAUUUUAUAAUUAAAGUCACAACGGUAAAAGAUGAGCAUGCGUCCCAUUAGCUAGUUGGAAGGUAACGGCUUACCAAGGCUACGAUGGGUAGGGGUCCUGAGAGGGAGACUCCCCCACACUGGUACUGAGACACGGACCAGACUCCUACGGGAGGGCAGCAGUGAGGAAUAUUGGACAAUGGGCGCAAGCCUGAUCCAGCCAUGCCGCGU